Molecule: ribosomal RNA, 492 nt
Filed under: uncultured bacterium
Lineage: Bacteria
Description: partial 16S ribosomal RNA
Rfam family: Bacterial small subunit ribosomal RNA
Source: RNAcentral
AGUGAACGCUGGCGGUAGGCCUAACACAUGCAAGUCGAACGGCAGCACAGUAAGAGCUUGCUCUUACGGGUGGCGAGUGGCGGACGGGUGAGGAAUACAUCGGAAUCUACUUUUUCGUGGGGGAUAACGUAGGGAAACUUACGCUAAUACCGCAUACGACCUACGGGUGAAAGCAGGGGAGCUUCGGACCUUGCGCGAUUGAGUGAGCCGAUGUCGGAUUAGCUAGUUGGCGGGGUAAAGGCUCACCAAGGCGACGAUCCGUAGCUGGUCUGAGAGGAUGAUCAGCCACACUGGAACUGAGACACGGUCCAGACUCCUACGGGAGGCAGCAGUGGGGAAUAUUGGACAAUGGGCGCAAGCCUGAUCCAGCCAUACCGCGUGGGUGAAGAAGGCCUUCGGGUUGUAAAGCCCUUUUGUUGGGAAAGAAAAGCAGCAGGUUAAUACCCCGCUGUUCUGACGGUACCCAAAGAAUAAGCACCGGCUAACUUCGUG